AUUGAACGCUGGCGGCAGGCCUAACACAUGCAAGUCGAGCGGAGCGGCGGACGGGUGAGUAAUGCCUAGGAAUCUGCCUGGUCGUGGGGGAUAACGUCCGGAAACGGGCGCUAAUACCGCAUACUAUCAGAUGAGCCUAGGUCGGAUUAGCUAGGUGGUGGGGUAAAGGCCUACCAAGGCGACGAUCCGUAACUGGUCUGAGAGGAUGAUCAGUCACACGGGUACAGAGACACGGUCCAGACUCCUACGGGAGGCAGCAGUGGGGAAUAGUGGACAAUGGGCGAAAGCCUGAUCCAGCCAUGCCGCGUGUGUGAAGAAGGUCUUCGGAUUGUAAAGUACUUUCAGCGGGGAGGCGUUACCAACAGAAGAAGCACCGGCUAACUUCGUGCCAGCAGCCGCGGUAAUAC
RNAcentral lists this ribosomal RNA (407 nucleotides) under uncultured bacterium. RNAcentral describes it as "partial 16S ribosomal RNA". It matches the Rfam family "Bacterial small subunit ribosomal RNA", at positions 30 to 526 of the family's 1533-position model. The record is from RNAcentral.